Molecule: long non-coding RNA, 294 nt
Filed under: Medicago truncatula (barrel medic)
Lineage: Eukaryota; Viridiplantae; Streptophyta; Magnoliopsida; Fabales; Fabaceae
Description: lncRNA gene16778
Source: RNAcentral
CUCCCUUUUCCAUCUAACUGUCAAAGGAUGCCCGUUAUUGAAAUCGCAUUUUGAAAGGGUCACCGGAGAAUACUCGGACAUGGUGUCUUCCAUACCCUCUACUAUUAUUGAAGCUUAGAUCGCUCAUUUUAACCAUAUACAUCAGCCGAGAAAAGCAGAGGUAGAGAAGCAAUAGGUAAAAAAAUGCUGAGCGUAUUAACUGCUGGGAAUUGUCCUGUUUCUUUUUGGCCGGAGAAUGCGGCAUCUGAUCACUUCUGUUGUCCGUCUUGCUGUAUUCUGGGACUAAAUUAUUAA